This 433-nucleotide ribosomal RNA is filed under the name uncultured bacterium. RNAcentral's name for it is "partial 16S ribosomal RNA". It matches the Rfam family "Bacterial small subunit ribosomal RNA", at positions 29 to 507 of the family's 1533-position model. The record is from RNAcentral.
AACGAACGCUGGCGGCAUGCCUAACACAUGCAAGUCGAACGAGGCCUUCGGGUCUAGUGGCGCACGAGUGCGUAACGCGUGGGAACCUUCACUUAGGUUCGGAAUAACUCCCCGAAAGGGGUGCUAAUACCGGAUAAUGUCUUCGGACCAAAGAUUUAUCGCCUUUGGAUGGGCCCGCGUUGGAUUAGCUAGUUGGUAGGGUAAAAGCCUACCAAGGCGACGAUCCAUAGCUGGUCUGAGAGGAUGAUCAGCCACACUGGGACUGAGACACGGCCCAGACUCCUACGGGAGGCAGCAGUGGGGAAUAUUGGACAAUGGGCGAAAGCCUGAUCCAGCAAUGCCGCGUGAGUGAUGAAGGCCUUAGGGUUGUAAAGCUCUUUUACCCGGGAUGAUAAUGACAGUACCGGGAGAAUAAGCGCCGGCUAACUCCGUG